This 1317-nucleotide ribosomal RNA is filed under the name Neopanorpa pulchra. RNAcentral describes it as "16S ribosomal RNA". The stretch from base 558 to 1317 matches the Rfam family "Archaeal large subunit ribosomal RNA", at positions 1423 to 2806 of the family's 2987-position model. Lineage: Eukaryota; Metazoa; Arthropoda; Insecta; Mecoptera; Panorpidae. The record is from RNAcentral.
UAAAAAAUAAUUAUUUAAUAUAUUUGAAAAUUUAGUUUUUUAAUAAAAUCAAUUUUAUUUAAUAAAAGUUUUAGUAAUGGUUAUUGAAAAAAUAAUUUAAAUUAUAAUUUAUUAGUAUUGUAAAAGAAAAUUGAAAUAUUUGAAAAUAAUUUAGUUUAAAAGUAAAUUUUAUAAAUUGUACCUUGUGUAUCAGGGUUUAUUAAUUAAAAUAUACAUAUUUAUAUUUCCCGAUUUUAAGAGAUUUAAUAAAAUAUAUUAGUUUACGUAUUAUAGUAAUUAAAAAUAUUUUAUUUGUAAUGAAAUGUUAUUCGUUCUUAAAUAUAUCUGGUUUUUUAAGAAAUAAAUUUAAUUUAUAUAAUAAAAAGUAUUUAUUUAUUUAUUUAAAUAAAUAAUUUAUAUUAUAAAUGUUUUAAGGGAUUAGCUUUAAGAUAUAAUCUAUAAUAAUUAUUUAAGUUUAAAAAUUGUAGGCUUAGAAAUAGUUAGCAAUAAAAAAAAUGUUAUAAUUUAUUUUAAAAUUUAAAAUAAUUUUUAUAAAUUUAGAUUUUUUAUUAAAAUUUAAUUUAUAAUAAAUAUAAAUUAGUAAUAAUGAUAAAAUUAGUAUAAUAAUUUGUAUAGAUAUAAUUAAUUUAAAGAUUAAAUUAAGGAACUCGGCAAAUAAAUACUCGCCUGUUUAACAAAAACAUGUCUUUUUGAAAAUAAUUUAAAGUCUAAUCUGCCCACUGAAUUUUAAAGGGCCGCGGUAUUUUGACCGUGCAAAGGUAGCAUAAUAAUUAGUCUUUUAAUUGAGGGCUAGAAUGAAUGAUUGAACGAAGUAUUAACUGUCUCAAUUUAAAUGAAAAUUGAAUUUAACUUUUAAGUCAAAAGGCUUAAAUGCAAUUAAAGGACGAGAAGACCCUAUAGAGCUUUAUAUUUAAUUAAUAAUUAAUUUAUAGAAAUUUUUAAUUUUUAUUAAGUAAAAUAUUUUGUUGGGGUGACAAGAAGAUUUAAAAAACUCUUUUUAUUUUAAAACAUUAAUUAAUGAAUUUUUGAUCCAUUUAUAGUGAUUAAAAGACUAAGUUACCUUAGGGAUAACAGCGUAAUCUUUUUUAAGAGUUCUUAUCGACAAAAAGGGUUGCGACCUCGAUGUUGGAUUAAGGGUUAUUUUUGGGUGUAGAAGUUCAUAGUUUAGGUCUGUUCGACCUUUGAAUCCUUACAUGAUCUGAGUUCAGACCGGCGUAAGCCAGGUCGGUUUCUAUCCUUAAUUAUAUAAAAAUAUUUUAGUACGAAAGGACCAAAUAUUUAGAAUAAUUCUUUUUAUUAGAAUAUUAUUAAUAAUAU